AACGAACGCUGGCGGCAGGCUUAACACAUGCAAGUCGAACGGAUCCUUCGGGAUUAGUGGCAGACGGGUGAGUAACGCGUGGGAACGUACCCUUUGCUACGGAAUAACUCAGGGAAACUUGAGCUAAUACCGUAUGUGCCCUACGGGGGAAAGAUUUAUCGGCAAAGGAUCGGCCCGCGUUGGAUCAGCUAGUUGGUGGGGUAAUGGCCUACCACGGCGACGAUCCAUAGCUGGUCUGAGAGGAUGAUCAGCCACACUGGGACUGAGACACGGCCCAGACUCCUACGGGAGGCAGCAGUGGGGAAUAUUGGACAAUGGGCGCAAGCCUGAUCCAGCCAUGCCGCGUGAGUGAUGAAGGUCUUAGGAUUGUAAAGCUCUUUCACCGGUGAAGAUAAUGACGGUAGCCGGAGAAGAAGCCCCGGCUAACUUCGUG
RNAcentral lists this ribosomal RNA (433 nucleotides) under uncultured bacterium. Its description in RNAcentral is "partial 16S ribosomal RNA". It matches the Rfam family "Bacterial small subunit ribosomal RNA", at positions 29 to 507 of the family's 1533-position model. The record is from RNAcentral.